CUACGGGCCGCUCCAGUGGGGAAUAUUGGACAAUGGGGGAAACCCUGAUCCAGCAAUGCCGCGUGUGUGAAGAAGGCCUGCGGGUUGUAAAGCACUUUCGGUUGGGAGGACUGCUUCUAGCACUAAUAUUGUUGGAAGUUGACGUUACCUUCAGAAGAAGCACCGGCUAACUCCGUGCCAGCAGCCGCGGUAAUACGGAGGGGGCAAGCGUUAAUCGGAAUUACUGGGCGUAAAGCGCGCGUAGGCGGCUAGAUCAGUCGGGUGUGAAAGCCCCGGGCUUAACCUGGGAACGGCGUCCGAUACUGUCUAGCUUGAGUACAGGAGAGGAGAGUGGAAUUCCACAUGUAGCGGUGAAAUGCGUAGAUAUGUGGAGGAACACCAAUGGCGAAGGCAGCUCUCUGGCCUGAUACUGACGCUGAGGUGCGAAAGCGUGGGGAGCAAACAGGAUUAGAUACCCGUGUAGUC
This 465-nucleotide ribosomal RNA is filed under the name uncultured bacterium. Its description in RNAcentral is "partial 16S ribosomal RNA". It matches the Rfam family "Bacterial small subunit ribosomal RNA", at positions 339 to 795 of the family's 1533-position model. The record is from RNAcentral.